UACAGAGGUCUCAAGCGUUGUUCGGAUUCAUUGGGCGUAAAGGGUGUGUAGGUGGCGCCGUAAGUCGGGUGUGAAAUUUCGGAGCUUAACUCCGAAACUGCAUUCGAUACUGCGGUGCUUGAGGACUGGAGAGGAGACUGGAAUUCAUGGUGUAGCAGUGAAAUGCGUAGAGAUCAUGAGGAAGACCAGUGGCGAAGGCGGGUCUCUGGACAGUUCCUGACACUGAGGCACGAAAGCCAGGGGAGCAAACGGG
This 253-nucleotide ribosomal RNA is filed under the name uncultured bacterium. RNAcentral describes it as "partial 16S ribosomal RNA". It matches the Rfam family "Bacterial small subunit ribosomal RNA", at positions 524 to 776 of the family's 1533-position model. The record is from RNAcentral.